UUGCCUACGGGGGGCAGCAGUGAGGAAUAUUGGUCAAUGGCCGAGAGGCUGAACCAGCCAAGUCGCGUGAGGGAAGACGGCCCUACGGGUUGUAAACCUCUUUUGUCGGGGAGCAAAGCGAACCACGUGUGGUUCAUUGAGAGUACCCGAAGAAAAAGCAUCGGCUAACUCCGUGCCAGCAGCCGCGGUAAUACGGAGGAUGCGAGCGUUAUCCGGAUUUAUUGGGUUUAAAGGGUGCGUAGGCGGACUGUCAAGUCAGCGGUAAAAUACGGGGGCUCAACCUCCGCCCGCCGUUGAAACUGACG
This 305-nucleotide ribosomal RNA is filed under the name uncultured bacterium. RNAcentral's name for it is "bacterial SSU rRNA". It matches the Rfam family "Bacterial small subunit ribosomal RNA", at positions 335 to 638 of the family's 1533-position model. The record is from RNAcentral.